AACGAACGCUGGCGGCAGGCCUAACACAUGCAAGUCGAGCGAGGACUUCGGUCCUAGCGGCGGACGGGUGAGUAACGCGUGGGAACGUGCCCUUUGCUUCGGAAUAGCCCUGGGAAACUGGGAGUAAUACCGGAUGAGCCCUUUGGGGGAAAGAUUUAUCGGCGAAGGAUCGGCCCGCGUUGGAUUAGGUAGUUGGUGGGGUAAUGGCCUACCAAGCCGACGAUCCAUAGCUGGUUUGAGAGGAUGAGCAGCCACACUGGGACUGGGACACGGCCCAGACUCCUACGGGAGGCAGCAGUGGGGAAUCUUAGACAAUGGGGGAAACCCUGAUCUAGCCAUGCCGCGUGAGCGAUGAAGGCCUGAGGGUUGUAAAGCUCUUUCAGCUGGGAAGAUAAUGACGGUACCAGCAGAAGAAGCCCCGGCUAACUCCGUG
RNAcentral lists this ribosomal RNA (433 nucleotides) under uncultured bacterium. RNAcentral's name for it is "partial 16S ribosomal RNA". It matches the Rfam family "Bacterial small subunit ribosomal RNA", at positions 29 to 507 of the family's 1533-position model. The record is from RNAcentral.